This 466-nucleotide ribosomal RNA is filed under the name uncultured bacterium. RNAcentral's name for it is "bacterial SSU rRNA". It matches the Rfam family "Bacterial small subunit ribosomal RNA", at positions 329 to 792 of the family's 1533-position model. The record is from RNAcentral.
UGCCAGACUCCUACGGGAGGCAGCAGUGAGGAAUAUUGGUCAAUGGGCGCAAGCCUGAACCAGCCAAGUCGCGUGAGGGAAGACGGCCCUACGGGUUGUAAACCUCUUUUGCCGGGGAGCAAGCCUGAGCACGUGUGCCCAGGCGGAGAGUACCCGGAGAAAAAGCAUCGGCUAACUCCGUGCCAGCAGCCGCGGUAAUACGGAGGAUGCGAGCGUUAUCCGGAUUUAUUGGGUUUAAAGGGUGCGUAGGCGGAAUGCCAAGUCAGCGGUAAAAUCGCGGGGCUCAACCUCGCUCCGCCGUUGAAACUGGCGUUCUUGAGUGGGCGAGAAGUAUGCGGAAUGCGUGGUGUAGCGGUGAAAUGCAUAGAUAUCACGCAGAACUCCGAUUGCGAAGGCAGCAUACCGGCGCCCAACUGACGCUGAAGCACGAAAGCGUGGGUAUCGAACAGGAUUAGAUACCCUAGUA